GCGGAAGGCCGGGUGACCGCUUGCGCCGGUCCUUAGGGGCGGGCGCGGGAGGAAAGUCCGGACUCCCCGAAGCAACGGUGCCGGGUAACGCCCGGGCGGGGCAACCCGACGGACAGCGCCACAGAGAACAGACAGCCGCGCCCCGGCGUGGCAAUGGUGAAACGGUGGGGUAGUGGCCCACCGGGGGGCGGGCAACCGCCCUCGCAUGGCAAGCCCCACCGGGAGCAAUGCCGAAUAGGGACCGCGUCUGCCGCAAGGCAGGGGGUGGCUUUGGCCCCAGCAGGUCCGGGUUGGCAGCUAGAGGCCCCGUGGCAACACGGGGUCGAGAGGAAUGGUCACCGAACGCCGGGGCGACCCGGCGGGAACAGAAUCCGGCUUACAGGCCUUCCGCGCAC
RNAcentral lists this RNase P RNA (395 nucleotides) under Pseudaestuariivita atlantica. Its description in RNAcentral is "Aestuariivita atlantica Bacterial RNase P class A". It matches the Rfam family "Bacterial RNase P class A". Rfam says of the family: Ribonuclease P (RNase P) is a ubiquitous endoribonuclease, found in archaea, bacteria and eukarya as well as chloroplasts and mitochondria. Its best characterised activity is the generation of mature 5'-ends of tRNAs by cleaving the 5'-leader elements of precursor-tRNAs. Lineage: Bacteria; Pseudomonadati; Pseudomonadota; Alphaproteobacteria; Rhodobacterales; Paracoccaceae. The record is from Rfam by way of RNAcentral.